UACGUAGGGGGCUAGCGUUGUCCGGAAUUAUUGGGCGUAAAGAGCUCGUAGGCGGUUUGUCGCGUCUGCUGUGAAAUCCCGAGGCUCAACCUCGGGUCUGCAGUGGGUACGGGCAGACUGGAGUGCGGUAGGGGAGAAUGGAAUUCCUGGUGUAGUGGUGGAAUGCGUAGAUAUCGGGAGGAACACCAGUGGCGAAGGCGGCUUCCUGGACCGGUUCUGACACUGAGGAGCGAAAGCGUGGGGAGCGAUCCGG
Molecule: ribosomal RNA, 253 nt
Filed under: uncultured bacterium
Lineage: Bacteria
Description: partial 16S ribosomal RNA
Rfam family: Bacterial small subunit ribosomal RNA
Source: RNAcentral